This 492-nucleotide ribosomal RNA is filed under the name uncultured bacterium. RNAcentral's name for it is "partial 16S ribosomal RNA". It matches the Rfam family "Bacterial small subunit ribosomal RNA", at positions 28 to 523 of the family's 1533-position model. The record is from RNAcentral.
GACGAACGCUGGCUGCGUGCUUAACACAUGCAAGUCGAACGCUGAAACCCUGGUGCUUGCACCGGGGUGGAUGAGUGGCGAACGGGUGAGUAACACGUGAGUAACCUGCCCCCGACUUCGGGAUAAGCCCGGGAAACUGGGUCUAAUACCGGAUAUGAGCGCCCCUCGCAUGAGGGAUGCUGGAAAGUCUUUUCGGUUGGGGAUGGGCUCGCGGCCUAUCAGUUUGUUGGUGAGGUAAUGGCUCACCAAGAAGACGACGGGUAGCCGGCCUGAGGGGGCGCCCGGCCACACGGGGACUGAGACACGGCCCAGACUCCUACGGGAGGCAGCAGUGGGGAAUAUUGCAAAAUGGGGGAAACCCUGAUGCAGCGACGCAGCGUGCGGGAUGACGGCCUUCGGGUUGUAAACCGCUUUCAGCAGGGAAGAAGCCCCUUGGGGUGACGGUACCUGCAGAAGAAGUACCGGCUAACUACGUGCCAGCCGCCGCCGUAA